RNAcentral lists this ribosomal RNA (728 nucleotides) under uncultured bacterium. Its description in RNAcentral is "bacterial SSU rRNA". It matches the Rfam family "Bacterial small subunit ribosomal RNA", at positions 772 to 1500 of the family's 1533-position model. The record is from RNAcentral.
ACCGGAUUAGAUACCUUGGUAGUCCACGCCGUAAACGAUGUCGACUUGGAGGCUGUUCCCUUGAGGAGUGGCUUCCGGAGCUAACGCGUUAAGUCGACCGCCUGGGGAGUACGGCCGCAAGGUUAAAACUCAAAUGAAUUGACGGGGGCCCGCACAAGCGGUGGAGCAUGUGGUUUAAUUCGAUGCAACGCGAAGAACCUUACCUACUCUUGACAUCCAGAGAACUUUCCAGAGAUGGAUUGGUGCCUUCGGGAACUUUGAGACAGGUGCUGCAUGGCUGUCGUCAGCUCGUGUUGUGAAAUGUUGGGUUAAGUCCCGCAACGAGCGCAACCCUUAUCCUUUGUUGCCAGCGAUUCGGUCGGGAACUCAAAGGAGACUGCCGGUGAUAAACCGGAGGAAGGUGGGGAUGACGUCAAGUCAUCAUGACCCUUACGAGUAGGGCUACACACGUGCUACAAUGGCGCAUACAAAGAGAAGCGACCUCGCGAGAGCAAGCGGACCUCAUAAAGUGCGUCGUAGUCCGGAUCGGAGUCUGCAACUCGACUCCGUGAAGUCGGAAUCGCUAGUAAUCGUGGAUCAGAAUGCCACGGUGAAUACGUUCCCGGGCCUUGUACACACCGCCCGUCACACCAUGGGAGUGGGUUGCAAAAGAAGUAGGUAGCUUAACCUUCGGGAGGACGGUUACCACGGUGUGAUUCAUGACUGGGGUGAAGUCGUAACAAGGUAGC